AGAGUUUGAUCCUGGCUCAGGAUGAACGCUGGCGGCGUGCCUAAUACAUGCAAGUCGAGCGAACAGACGAGGAGCUUGCUCCUUUGACGUUAGCGGCGGACGGGUGAGUAACACGUAGGUAACCUACCUAUAAGACUGGGAUAACUUCGGGAAACCGGAGCUAAUACCGGAUAAUAUUUCGAACCGCAUGGUUCGAUAGUGAAAGAUGGCUUUGCUAUCACUUAUAGAUGGACCUGCGCCGUAUUAGCUAGUUGGUAAGGUAACGGCUUACCAAGGCAACGAUACGUAGCCGACCUGAGAGGGUGAUCGGCCACACUGGAACUGAGACACGGUCCAGACUCCUACGGGAGGCAGCAGUAGGGAAUCUUCCGCAAUGGGCGAAAGCCUGACGGAGCAACGCCGCGUGAGUGAUGAAGGUCUUCGGAUCGUAAAACUCUGUUAUUAGGGAAGAACAAACGUGUAAGUAACUGUGCACGUCUUGACGGUACCUAAUCAGAAAGCCACGGCUAACUACGUGCCAGCAGCCGCGGUAAUACGUAGGUGGCAAGCGUUAUCCGGAAUUAUUGGGCGUAAAGCGCGCGUAGGCGGUUUUUUAAGUCUGAUGUGAAAGCCCACGGCUCAACCGUGGAGGGUCAUUGGAAACUGGAAAACUUGAGUGCAGAAGAGGAAAGUGGAAUUCCAUGUGUAGCGGUGAAAUGCGCAGAGAUAUGGAGGAACACCAGUGGCGAAGGCGACUUUCUGAUCUGUAACUGACGCUGAUGUGCGAAAGCGUGGGGAUCAAACAGGAUUAGAUACCCUGGUAGUCCACGCCGUAAACGAUGAGUGCUAAGUGUUAGGGGGUUUCCGCCCCUUAGUGCUGCAGCUAACGCAUUAAGCACUCCGCCUGGGGAGUACGACCGCAAGGUUGAAACUCAAAGGAAUUGACGG
Molecule: ribosomal RNA, 927 nt
Filed under: uncultured bacterium
Lineage: Bacteria
Description: bacterial SSU rRNA
Rfam family: Bacterial small subunit ribosomal RNA
Source: RNAcentral